RNAcentral lists this microRNA precursor (72 nucleotides) under Salmo salar (Atlantic salmon). RNAcentral's name for it is "microRNA ssa-mir-212a precursor (ssa-mir-212a-2)". Its record names the gene ssa-mir-212a-2. It matches the Rfam family "mir-132 microRNA precursor family", at positions 11 to 84 of the family's 84-position model. Lineage: Eukaryota; Metazoa; Chordata; Actinopteri; Salmoniformes; Salmonidae. The record is from miRBase by way of RNAcentral.
ACCUUGGCUUUAGACUGCUUACUGCUUUAAAAAAAAGUCUCACAGUUACAGUAACAGUCUACAGUCAUGGCU